RNAcentral lists this ribosomal RNA (460 nucleotides) under uncultured bacterium. Its description in RNAcentral is "partial 16S ribosomal RNA". It matches the Rfam family "Bacterial small subunit ribosomal RNA", at positions 338 to 795 of the family's 1533-position model. The record is from RNAcentral.
CCUACGGGAGGCAGCAGUGAGGAAUAUUGGUCAAUGGGCUUACGCCUGAACCAGCCAAGUCGCGUGAGGGAAGACUGCCCUAUGGGUUGUAAACCUCUUUUGUCAGGGAGCAAGUGGCGCUACGUGUAGCGUUAUCGAGAGGACCUGAAGAAAAAGCAGCGGCUAACUCCGUGCCAGCAGCCGCGGUAAUACGGAGGAUGCGAGCGUUAUCCGGAUUUAUUGGGUUUAAAGGGUGCGUAGGCGGUUUUUUAAGUUAGUGGUUAAACGUCGGGGCUUCACCUUGAUUUGCCAUUAAUACUGUCAGCCUCGAGUUCAGACGAGGUAGGCGGAAUCCGUUCCGUAGCGGUGAAAUGCUUCGAUAUCACUUAGAACUCCGAUCGCGAAGGCAGCUUACCAGACUGCGACUGACGCUGAAGCACGAGAGCGUGGGUAGCGAACAGGAUUAGAUACCCGGGUAGUC